GAUGAAGAACGCAGCGAAACGUGAUAAGUAAUGUGAAUUGCAGAAUCCAGUGAAUCAUCGAAUCUUUGAACGCACAUUGCGCCCGCCAGCAUUCUGGCGGGCAUGCCUGUUCGAGCGUCAUUUCAACCCUCGACCUCCCCUUGGGGAGGUCGGCGUUGGGGACCGGCAGCACACCGCCGGCCCUGAAAUGGAGUGGCGGCCCGUCCGCGGCGACCUCUGCGCAGUAAUACAGCUCGCACCGGGACCCCGACGCGGCCACGCCGUAAAACACCCAACUUCUGAACGUUGACCUCGAAUCAGGUAGGACUACCCGCUGAACUUAAGCAUAUCAAUAAGCGGAGGA
This 343-nucleotide unclassified non-coding RNA is filed under the name soil metagenome. RNAcentral's name for it is "partial contains 5.8S ribosomal RNA, internal transcribed spacer 2, and large subunit ribosomal RNA". The stretch from base 1 to 120 matches the Rfam family "5.8S ribosomal RNA", at positions 35 to 154 of the family's 154-position model. The record is from RNAcentral.